This 447-nucleotide ribosomal RNA is filed under the name uncultured bacterium. Its description in RNAcentral is "bacterial SSU rRNA". It matches the Rfam family "Bacterial small subunit ribosomal RNA", at positions 355 to 825 of the family's 1533-position model. The record is from RNAcentral.
UAACGAAUCUUCCGCAAUGCACGAAAGUGUGACGGAGCGACGCCGCGUGGAGGACGAAGUUCUUCGGAAUGUAAACUCCUGUCAGGGGAAAGAAAGUUCUGAUCUACCCCAGAGGAAGAGGCGGCUAACUCUGUGCCAGCAGCCGCGGUAAUACAGAGGCCUCGAGCGUUAGACGGAAUCACUGGGCUUAAAGCGUGUGUAGGCGGAAGGGUAAGUACCUUGUGAAAUCCCACGGCUUAACCGUGGAACGGCUUGGUAUACUGCUUUUCUUGAGCAAUCUAGGGGCGAGUGGAACAGAUGGUGGAGCGGUGAAAUGCGUAGAUAUCAUCUGGAACGCCAAUGGUGAAGACAACUCGCUGGGGAUUUGCUGACGCUGAGACACGAAAGCCAGGGGAGCGAACGGGAUUAGAUACCCAUGUAGUCCCUGAGCGGGCUGGCAAGGCGCAU